CCUACGGGCGGCAGCAGUGGGGAAUAUUGCACAAUGGGGGAAACCCUGAUGCAGCAACGCCGCGUGAGGGAGGAAGUCUUUCUGUAUUGAAAGCUCUAUCAGCAGGGGAUAGAAACGAAGGUACCUGAAGCAGACGCCCCUGCUAACUACGUGCCAGCAGCUGCGGUCAUACGUAGGGGGCAAGCGUUAUCCGGAUUUACUGGGUGUAAAGGGUGCGUAGACGGAAAGGCAAGUCAGAUGUGAAAACCCAAGGCUCAACCAUGGGACUGCUUUUGAAACUGUCAAACUAGAGUACGGGAGAGGUAAGAGGAAUGCCUAGUGUAGCGGUGAAAUGCGUAGAUAUCAGGAGGAACACCAGUGGCGAAGGCGUCUUACUGGACCGAAACUGACGUUGAGGCUCGAAAGCGUGGGGAGCAAACAGGAUUAGAUACCCUGGUAGUC
This 441-nucleotide ribosomal RNA is filed under the name uncultured bacterium. Its description in RNAcentral is "partial 16S ribosomal RNA". It matches the Rfam family "Bacterial small subunit ribosomal RNA", at positions 338 to 795 of the family's 1533-position model. The record is from RNAcentral.